GAUGAACGCUGGCGGCGUGCUUAACACAUGCAAGUCGAGCGGAAAGGCCCGGCUGUUGGGGGGUGCGCGAGUGGCGAACGGGUGAGUGACACGUGAGUAACCUGCCCUUGACUGGGGGAUAACUUCUGGAGACUGGGGCUAAUACCGGAGAGGAGCUCCUGCUGCAUGGUGGGGGGUGGAAAGUUUCGGCGGUUGGGGAUGGACUCGCGGCUUAUCAGCUUGUUGGUGUGGUAGUGGCUUACCAAGGCUUGGACGGGUAGCCGGCCUGAGAGGGUGACCGGCGACAUUGGGACUGAGAGACGGCCCAGACUCCUACGGGAGGCAGCAGUGGGGAGUAUUGCGCAGUGGGCCGAAGCCUGAUGCAGCAGCGCCGGGUGCGGAAUGACGGCUUUCGGGUUGUAAACCGCUUUCGCCUGUGACGAAGAGUGAGUGACGGUAAUGGGUAAAGAAGCACCGGCUAACUACGUG
This 468-nucleotide ribosomal RNA is filed under the name uncultured bacterium. Its description in RNAcentral is "partial 16S ribosomal RNA". It matches the Rfam family "Bacterial small subunit ribosomal RNA", at positions 28 to 507 of the family's 1533-position model. The record is from RNAcentral.